GAUGAACGCUGGCGGCGUGCCUAAUACAUGCAAGUCGAGCGAAUGGAUUAAGAGCUUGCUCUUAUGAAGUUAGCGGCGGACGGGUGAGUAACACGUGGGUAACCUGCCCAUAAGACUGGGAUAACUCCGGGAAACCGGGGCUAAUACCGGAUAACAUUUUGAACCGCAUGGUUCGAAAUUGAAAGGCGGCUUCGGCUGUCACUUAUGGAUGGACCCGCGUCGCAUUAGCUAGUUGGUGAGGUAACGGCUCACCAAGGCAACGAUGCGUAGCCGACGUGGGGUGGUGAUCGGCAACACUGGGACUGAGAAACGGCCCAGACUCCUACGGGAGGCAGCAGUAGGGAAUCUUCCGCAAUGGACGAAAGUCUGACGGAGCAACGCCGCGUGAGUGAUGAAGGCUUUCGGGUCGUAAAACUUUGUUGUUAGGGAAGAACAAGUGCUAGUUGAAUAAGCUGGCACCUUGACGGUACCUAACCAGAAAGCCACGGCUAACUACGUGCCAGCCGCCGCCGUAA
This 515-nucleotide ribosomal RNA is filed under the name uncultured bacterium. RNAcentral's name for it is "partial 16S ribosomal RNA". It matches the Rfam family "Bacterial small subunit ribosomal RNA", at positions 28 to 523 of the family's 1533-position model. The record is from RNAcentral.